GGUCAGCUGACACAUCCCUGCCAAUCUCCGGCAGACCCUCCCUCCCAGACCCUCCCACGUCCUGGACAGCAUCCAUGUUGACGCUGCCUUCAACAUGGAUGCUGUCCAGGAAGUAGGAGGGUCUGGGAGGGAGGGUCUGCUGGAGAUUGGCAGGGAUGUGUCAGCUG
Molecule: microRNA precursor, 167 nt
Filed under: Pelobates cultripes (western spadefoot toad)
Lineage: Eukaryota; Metazoa; Chordata; Amphibia; Anura; Pelobatidae
Source: RNAcentral